This 1046-nucleotide long non-coding RNA is filed under the name Heterocephalus glaber (naked mole-rat). RNAcentral describes it as "lncRNA (ENSHGLG00100048153.1)". The record is from RNAcentral. Lineage: Eukaryota; Metazoa; Chordata; Mammalia; Rodentia; Bathyergidae.
UACACUCGUUGUCAAUGAUUUUAUUUUCUCUGCAGUGGAAUCCAUGAAAGCCAGAAGCACUGCUGGGGCCAUGGCUCACAAGGUUCAUGGGACCAGUCCUGGGCCUGACUACUGGAUGAUUAUUGUUAAAAAACAAAGCAGAACACAGAGAAUGAGUCACUUGCCGUAGACAUCACAAAUCUCUCGGGAAUGGUGAAAAUUUCGUGAGACUUCCUUUAAAUAACUCUCUACCCACAAAGCACCAGAGGAAAGAUGGUCACAGGGCCUGAUCCCUCUCAGGAUGUGGAGUGCUACCGUCCAGCCUGGACGUACAAGGCAGCGUGUUUAAAACGCUGGGUGGUGGCAGGCUGUUUGCAUGUCUUUCUGCUCAGGGAGGCCCAGGCACGUCCUCCUCCUGGUCACUAAGCUCUGAGGGGGUCAGAUCCGGAGGACACACGGGGACACGCGUCAGGCUCACUGAGCAGGUUUGUGGCUGAUUUCUCUGUGGCAGGAAUGACUGGCAUAGAGUGAACUUCGAAGACCAGGCAGAGAGCUUUGCCCUUGGCAGAAGACACACAGUGAGGAAACAGACUGGGAGAGGCAGAAGGCCACACACCAGGGAGGGUUGGCAGCAGCUGGAGGCCAGGUCCUGGACCCCUGGGAUGAGCUCCUCCCUCUGCCUAGUGCUGCUUCUCGGCUCUGGGGAGGAAUUUAGGGGAAACUGGCUUUAGACUGAGGCAUUUCUGUCCAGGCCAGGGUGGCCCAGGACAGAAGUGUCUGUGGCCAGGUUAGAGCCCAGGGCUCACUGGAUCCUAGGGUUGUCUAUUCCCAGGGACUGCAGGGAUGGGUGGGCCCAGCCCAGCAGCCCAGCAGCCCAGCAGCCCAGCAGCCCAGCAGCCCAGCAGCCCAGCAGCCAGUCCCACCUGUGCCCCAGGUUGCAUCCCCGAGUACUGUGCGAGUUUUCCUGGGGGCCCUCUCUGCCCCCUUCCAAGGCAGGGCAGCCUCCGGGGUCCUUUUCUGGACACACACACUGAAGCUGAUUCUUUUCCUCUUCCUGGUGAGCCCAG